This is a long non-coding RNA of Amblyraja radiata (thorny skate), 544 nucleotides long. RefSeq lists it as uncharacterized. The transcript has 2 exons. The record is from RefSeq and is a predicted model, not a curated record. Lineage: Eukaryota; Metazoa; Chordata; Chondrichthyes; Rajiformes; Rajidae.
CCCCUUAGUCCAACACAUCCGAUGCUAACAAUUAAGUGUCUACCUGUACUAAUCCCAUUUGCCAGUAAUUGGUCUAUAGUCGUUGCUAUUGUGGACCAUGUGCUCUUCACGAUACUUGAUUAUAAACACCCACUAGGUGAUAUUUUGUUUCCUCCGCCACUCUAAACCUCUUGCCCUGUAACUUAAAUCCUUUGGUUUACAACACCUUAUGUCUGGAACUCUCUGAUGAAAUAUGAGAGAGAGAGAAAUAAAACUCACUUAAGGAGUAGUUGAAUGAAUACUUGAAGUACCAUGUUCUGCAUGACUGCAGGCUUAAGACUGAACGAGAGAGAUAGCUCUUUAGAGUCAGAGUUCGAGGCAGAAACAGGCCCUUCAGCUCAACUAGCCCCUCCUGAUCUACAUGCCUCAUCCAAGCCAGUCCCAUUUGCCCGCAUCUGGUCAACACCCACCCAAACCUUCUCUACCUAUCAAAGUCUCUCUUCAAUGUUAUUGUACCUCCCUCAAAUACUUCCUCUGUCAGCUCGUUCCAUAUACCCACUACCCU